AUUGAACGCUGGCGGCAGGCCUAACACAUGCAAGUCGAGCGGAUGAAGGGAGCUUGCUCCUGGAUUCAGCGGCGGACGGGUGAGUAAUGCCUAGGAAUCUGCCUGGUAGUGGGGGAUAACGUCCGGAAACGGGCGCUAAUACCGCAUACGUCCUGAGGUAGAAAGUGGGGGAUCUUCGGACCUCACGCUAUCAGAUGAGCCUAGGUCGGAUUAGCUAGUUGGUGGGGUAAAGGCCUACCAAGGCGACGAUCCGUAACUGGUCUGAGAGGAUGAUCAGUCACACUGGAACUGAGACACGGUCCAGACUCCUACGGGAGGCAGCAGUGGGGAAUAUUGGACAAUGGGCGAAAGCCUGAUCCAGCCAUGCCGCGUGUGUGAAGAAGGUCUUCGGAUUGUAAAGCACUUUAAGUUGGGAGGAAGGACAGUAAGUUAAUACCUUGCUGUUUUGACGUUACCAACAGAAUAAGCACCGGCUAACUUCGUG
This 484-nucleotide ribosomal RNA is filed under the name uncultured bacterium. RNAcentral describes it as "partial 16S ribosomal RNA". It matches the Rfam family "Bacterial small subunit ribosomal RNA", at positions 30 to 507 of the family's 1533-position model. The record is from RNAcentral.